AGAUUGAACGCUGGCGGCAUGCCUUACACAUGCAAGUCGAACGGCAGCACGGGAGCAAUCCUGGUGGCGAGUGGCGAACGGGUGAGUAAUACAUCGGAACGUGCCCAAUCGCGGGGGAUAACGCAGCGAAAGCUGUGCUAAUACCGCAUAAGAUCUACGGAUGAAAGCAGGGGAUCGCAAGACCUUGCGCGAAUGGAGCGGCCGAUGGCAGAUUAGGUAGUUGGUGAGGUAAAGGCUCACCAAGCCUUCGAUCUGUAGCUGGUCUGAGAGGACGACCAGCCACACUGGGACUGAGACACGGCCCAGACUCCUACGGGAGGCAGCGAGUGGGGUAAUUUGG
RNAcentral lists this ribosomal RNA (340 nucleotides) under uncultured soil bacterium. RNAcentral's name for it is "bacterial SSU rRNA". It matches the Rfam family "Bacterial small subunit ribosomal RNA", at positions 26 to 367 of the family's 1533-position model. The record is from RNAcentral.